RNAcentral lists this transfer RNA (82 nucleotides) under Camponotus concavus. Its description in RNAcentral is "tRNA-Leu". The record is from RNAcentral. Lineage: Eukaryota; Metazoa; Arthropoda; Insecta; Hymenoptera; Formicidae.
AUUACUUUGGCAGAUUAGUGUGUUAAAUUUAGAAUUUAAUUAUAUAUAUGAUAAAUAAUGUUAUUAAAAUAUAUAGGUAAUA